RNAcentral lists this ribosomal RNA (253 nucleotides) under uncultured bacterium. RNAcentral's name for it is "partial 16S ribosomal RNA". It matches the Rfam family "Bacterial small subunit ribosomal RNA", at positions 524 to 776 of the family's 1533-position model. The record is from RNAcentral.
UACGUAGGGUGCGAGCGUUGUCCGGAAUUACUGGGCGUAAAGAGCUCGUAGGUGGUUUGUCGCGUUGUUCGUGAAAACUCACAGCUUAACUGUGGGCGUGCGGGCGAUACGGGCAGACUGGAGUACUGCAGGGGAGACUGGAAUUCCUGGUGUAGCGGUGGAAUGCGCAGAUAUCAGGAGGAACAUCAGUGGCGAAGGCGGCUUCCUGGACCAAUACUGACGAUCAGGUGCGAAAGCGUGGGGAGCAAACAGG